RNAcentral lists this RNase P RNA (373 nucleotides) under Rhodospirillaceae bacterium. RNAcentral describes it as "RNase P RNA component class A". It matches the Rfam family "Bacterial RNase P class A". Rfam says of the family: Ribonuclease P (RNase P) is a ubiquitous endoribonuclease, found in archaea, bacteria and eukarya as well as chloroplasts and mitochondria. Its best characterised activity is the generation of mature 5'-ends of tRNAs by cleaving the 5'-leader elements of precursor-tRNAs. Cellular RNase Ps are ribonucleoproteins. The record is from RNAcentral. Lineage: Bacteria; Pseudomonadati; Pseudomonadota; Alphaproteobacteria; Rhodospirillales; Rhodospirillaceae.
CCAGAUGGCCGGAUGGCCGCUUGGCGCGCAAGCGCCGAGAGGAAAGUCCGGGCUCCACGGAAACACGGUGCCGGAUAACGUCCGGCGGGGGCGACCCUAGGGAAAGUGCCGCAGAGAGUAGACCGCCGGUGGGUUUCCACCGGUAAGGGUGAAAGGGUGCGGUAAGAGCGCACCGCGUCUCCGGUAACGGAGAUGGCAGGGUAAACCCCACCGGGAGCAAGACCAAAUAGGGGCGGCAACGCCGCAAGGCAGGUGCGUUUCCGCAUCGCUGCCCGGGUCGGUCGCUAGAGGCGUCGGGCAACCGGCGUCCCAGAGGAAUGGUCAUCCCCUGUGAAAACAGGGACAGAACCCGGCUUACAGGCCAUCUGGCAUU